AUAUAUAUAAGGAUUCAUUCCUACUACACAUUAUUACUACAGGUAGUGACCUGGAAAAGUCUACAAAACCAGAAUGUGUUAUUUAAUUGGACUUUUAUUUGUCAUACUGGUUCCGUGUAUGGCUCUCAGCAGUUGGAAUAGUGUAACAGCUCCUUCACUACAUUAUGAUGAAACUGCAUAUUGGCAAAACGAGUGUACCAAAUGUUUCAAUAAUCUGCAACAAAUAACUUCCAAGAAUAAGGAUUUAUACCGCCAAAUCCAUCAACUUGAAUUCACACUGGGACAGGAUCAAAUAGAAACAGAAAGACUUAAAAAUGUCACAGCAGAUUUCGAUACAAAACUUCUUUCACGGAUAUCUACAUCAAUUAAAGAACAAAACAGUUUGUGGCUGAAGUGUAUUGCUGUGACACCUGGUAGACCGUGUGAUAUUACACAAGGUUGUUCAACAUCUAAACAAGGACAAUGUUUUCCAAUAAACGUGUAAACACAGAAGAUCCAAAAUUCAUCAUUUCUGGACUAUCAACAGUGCCCAAUGAUAUUGUUACGACGCGUUUAUCCAUUAUAUAGACGAUUAUUGUUAUAUAAUACAUGUACGAUGCAUGUUUUCUUCAGUUAUCUGUUAUAAUUAAAACAACAAAACAAAAACCUGUUUUUUCUCCUCAAUGUGUUGGUCUCUUACUAAGACGGUGUUUUGCAUUGCGGGUGUAUAAAUACACAGACACGUCAUAUAUAUUAUCGGGAAACAAAGAACCCUCUACAACUAAAAAGGAUUGCUGCAGGUAAUAUAUUGAAAGGUAUUUCAU
Mytilus californianus (California mussel) is the source of this 803-nucleotide long non-coding RNA. RefSeq lists it as uncharacterized. The transcript has 3 exons. NCBI's taxonomy places the organism in Eukaryota, Metazoa, Mollusca, Bivalvia, Mytilida, Mytilidae. The record is from RefSeq and is a predicted model, not a curated record.